UUGCCAUGGAAACUGCAGAAAUGUCAAAUAUUUUCAAAAUGCUCCAAACUUAAUGAAACUUAAUAUUAUUGUUAACUGGCAUGUAUAGAUGAGACUUUUGACUUUGGAAUUUUCAAAAUGGCUGCCGUUGCCAUGGAAACAGCAGAAAUGUGAAACUUUUGACAAUGCUCUUAUUGUACUGAAAAUUUACAGAAAGAUAUAUCGCAAUUCAUAGAUCUGCAUUCACUGUUAAGUUGUUUUGAAAUGGCUGCCGCUUAGUGGCAAUGGGGGAAGGGUGACAUCCGCUAUUGCUUGCAAUGGCAAUUCUAGUUAUUAUUAUUUUUCUUCCACCUAAUUUUGUCCGGCAGUUUUCUUGGAGCCAAAGGAACCAAUCUGAAUGAUGGUGCACUAUAACAAGGAACCCUGACUUUCCAGUUGCAGUGCAACUUUGGAACUAAAAAAUGGCUGCCAUCACCAUGGAAACG
Molecule: long non-coding RNA, 464 nt
Filed under: Mytilus galloprovincialis (Mediterranean mussel)
Lineage: Eukaryota; Metazoa; Mollusca; Bivalvia; Mytilida; Mytilidae
Source: RNAcentral